Molecule: ribosomal RNA, 1164 nt
Filed under: Eugonatonotus chacei
Lineage: Eukaryota; Metazoa; Arthropoda; Malacostraca; Decapoda; Eugonatonotidae
Description: eukaryotic LSU rRNA
Rfam family: Eukaryotic large subunit ribosomal RNA
Source: RNAcentral
AAGUCCGAUAGAGAACAAAGUACCGUGAGGGAAAGUUGAAAAGGACUUUGAAGAGAGAGUUCAAAAGGACGUGAAACCGUUAGAAGCUUAAACGGGUGGAACCGCGAAGGUCGAACGAGGGGAUUCAGCUCGCGGGCCUGUGGCGGGCGGGUGGCGGCACAUAAGAAUUACCGUGAGAGGACCCAGCGUGAUAAAUGUCGUGCUUUAGCUGUGGCCCCGCCCCCGCCCCCGGCAGCCGUCCGCGGGCUUACUUCUCCCUCUAGUAGGUCGCCGCGACCCGUUGUGGGGACCCCCGAGGCCGUGCCGGAUUGGUAGCCCGCAGCCCUUAACCCGGCUGCGGGUGACGACCGGUCCGCGGUUCUGACAGGGCCCCUGCGACGGUCACUGCCAGGAGGCAGGAGGGCAGUUCGCUGCCUCUCUGCCUCUCGCGGCGUGCAAGGGAUCGGUAAUCCACCCGACCCGUCUUGAAACACGGACCAAGGAGUCCAACAUGCGCGCGAGUCUAAGGGUGAACUAAACCUGGAGGCGAAAUGAAAGUGAGCUGUAAAGUUUAAAGCAGGCCGAUCCCCGGCCCGGCGGGCGCUUGGGGGUGUGGCGUCCUCCCCGCCGCCGGCCGGUCCCUCCUUCGGGGGGGUCCGGUCCAAACGCAAUGGCGGCGGGGGCGUCCCCCCCGCGGUCGUCGGGCUGUUUUUAAAGACAGGCGCCGAGAGACGCCGGGGCGCAGGCCGAGGACUUGUCGCUCGGCGGCCCCUGGGCGACGGGGUUCGUGCGGGGACUUCGCGUCCCCCGCGGGCUCUCCUCCCGGGUGUGCCGCUGGCAAGUACCUGAGAGCGCGCACGUUGGGACCCGAAAGAUGGUGAACUAUGCUUGGCCAGGACGAAGCCAGAGGAAACUCUGGUGGAGGUCCGAAGCAGUUCUGACGUGCAAAUCGAUUGUCAGAGCUGAGUAUAGGGGCGAAAGACUAAUCGAACCAUCUAGUAGCUGGUUCCCUCCGAAGUUUCCCUCAGGAUAGCUGGCAUUCAGGAUGAUGAGUUUCAUCCGGUAAAGCGAAUGAUUAGAGGCCUUGGGGGUGCAAUGCCCUCAACCUAUUCUCAAACUUUAAAUGGGUGAGAUGUGGAGCUUGCUUGAUUACUGAAGCUCUGAUGACUAAAGAAUCAGAAUGUC